UGUCUCAUUUUCGCGGUGUUUUGGUAGAGGGCUCUUGUGGGCAUCUGAGCAUAGAUGAGCAGGAUGACUUCUGUGGGCAAAGUGGAGCUCCAAAAUGUUACGCCACCUUGGGAUGUGAAAGGUGAAAUUGCAGUCCCUCAAUGGUGGACCCCCUGGAAGAUGAGAUGAUGAUGGAGAUUUGAAUGAUCUAUUUGCAGCACAGAUCUGACUCCUCAUUGGAGAGGGGGCUGGGGGAGAUCCCAAACUGUAUGGAGUUCCUUCAUGGGGGUUUCAUCGUAUUGAAUGGAAAGGAGCCCAGAGCCUAACUGAUGAAUGUAGAGGCAGUUAACUCCUGCAUUUGGAACCUGGCACUUCCAGUGUGCCCAGGACUCCAGCUAGCAUUUACUCCCAGGUUGGACUCUUUUCAUCAAGAGAUUCUAGUUGGUGAACAUGGCACACAAAUGUAUCCCUCCUACGAAGAAGCAAGGACUUGAGGGCACCAUGAAGAUCACUGACCUACUGGGACAAUACAUUUUCAAGAAUGCAAAGCUGUCACCCUGUAAAAGAACAUUUGAAAUGUGGUUCUAGUGUCUUGUUUGAGCUGUUCCCCCAUCCUUCUCUUUGUUAGCAACUUUAUUUGCCAGCAAACCAACCUCUAACCGGUCACUUUUGUAUCAAUAAAUGUUUGAAGUUUGCUUUGA
Non-coding RNA from Lepisosteus oculatus (spotted gar), 680 nucleotides. The record is from RefSeq and is a predicted model, not a curated record. NCBI's taxonomy places the organism in Eukaryota, Metazoa, Chordata, Actinopteri, Semionotiformes, Lepisosteidae.